Molecule: ribosomal RNA, 504 nt
Filed under: uncultured bacterium
Lineage: Bacteria
Description: bacterial SSU rRNA
Rfam family: Bacterial small subunit ribosomal RNA
Source: RNAcentral
AUUGAACGCUGGCGGCGUGCUUUACACAUGCAAGUCGAGCGGCAGCACGGACUUCGGUCUGGUGGCGAGCGGCGAACGGGUGAGUAAUACAUCGGAACGUACCUUUUAGUUGGGGAUAACGCAUCGAAAGAUGUGCUAAUACCGAAUAAUCUCUGAGGAGGAAAGGCGGGGAUCGCAAGACCUGUCGCUGAAAGAGCGGCCGAUGGCCGAUUAGCUAGUUGGCGGGGUAAAAGCCACCAAGGCGAUGAUCGGUAGCUGUUCUGAGAGGAAGAUCAGCCACACUGGGACUGAGACACGGCCCAGACUCCUACGGGAGGCAGCAGUGGGGAAUUUUGGACAAUGGGGGCAACCCUGAUCCAGCAACACCGCGUGAAUGAAGAAGGCCUUAGGGUUGUAAAGCCCUGUGGGGAGGAACGAACCGUACGGGGGCGAACACCCUCCGUACCUGACGGUACCUCCUUAGCAAGCAUCGGCUAACUCUGUGCCAGCAGCCGCGGUAAUGUG